GUCUACAGCCAUACCACCCUGAAGGAGCCUGAUCUCGUCUGAUCUCAGAAGCUAAGCAGGGUCGGGCCUGGUUAAUACUUGGAUGGGAGACCUCCUGGGAAUACCGGGUGCUUUAAGAA
Molecule: non-coding RNA, 119 nt
Organism: Mus musculus (house mouse)
Lineage: Eukaryota; Metazoa; Chordata; Mammalia; Rodentia; Muridae
Source: Rfam